UACGUAGGGUCCAAGCGUUAUCCGGAAUCACUGGGCGUAAAGCGUGCGUAGGUGGCGUGUUAAGUGUGAUGUUAAAACGUGGGGCUCAACCCUGUCGGUGCAUCACAUACUGGCAUGCUAGAGGACGGCAGAGGCAAGUGGAAUUUGUAGUGUAGCAGUGAAAUGCGUAGAUAUUACAAGGAACACCAAUGGCGAAGGCAGCUUGCUGGGCCACUCCUGACACUGAGGUACGAAAGCGUGGGGAGCGAACAGG
RNAcentral lists this ribosomal RNA (253 nucleotides) under uncultured bacterium. RNAcentral describes it as "partial 16S ribosomal RNA". It matches the Rfam family "Bacterial small subunit ribosomal RNA", at positions 524 to 776 of the family's 1533-position model. The record is from RNAcentral.